Molecule: ribosomal RNA, 83 nt
Filed under: Arthrobacter sp. ov118
Lineage: Bacteria; Bacillati; Actinomycetota; Actinomycetes; Micrococcales; Micrococcaceae
Description: 16S rRNA. Bacterial SSU
Rfam family: Bacterial small subunit ribosomal RNA
Source: RNAcentral
CUUCAACGGAGAGUUUGAUCCUGGCUCAGGAUGAACGCUGGCGGCGUGCUUAACACAUGCAAGUCGAACGAUGAUCCGGUGCU